GACGAACGCUGGCGGCGUGCCUAACACAUGCAAGUCGAACGGACGAAGCCCUUCGGGGCCUAGUUAGUGGCGAACGGGUGAGUAACGCGUGAGGAACCUGCCUUUCAGAGGGGGACAACAGUUGGAAACGACUGCUAAUACCGCAUAAUGCAUCGAGACCGCAUGAUCUUGAUGCCAAAGAUUUAUCGCUGAAAGAUGGCCUCGCGUCUGAUUAGCUAGUUGGCGGGGUAACGGCCCACCAAGGCGACGAUCAGUAGCCGGACUGAGAGGUUGAACGGCCACAUUGGGACUGAGAUACGGCCCAGACUCCUACGGGAGGCAGCAGUGGGGAAUAUUAGGCAAUGGGGGAAACCCUGACCUAGCAACGCCGCGUGAAGGAAGAAGGCUUUCGGGUUGUAAACUUCUUUUACCAGGGACGAAGAACGUGACGGUACCUGGAGAAAAAGCAACGGCUAACUACGUG
RNAcentral lists this ribosomal RNA (463 nucleotides) under uncultured bacterium. RNAcentral describes it as "bacterial SSU rRNA". It matches the Rfam family "Bacterial small subunit ribosomal RNA", at positions 28 to 507 of the family's 1533-position model. The record is from RNAcentral.